UACGUAGGGGGCAAGCGUUGUCCGGAAUCAUUGGGCGUAAAGAGCGUGUAGGCGGCCAGAAAAGUCCGCUGUGAAAACUCGAGGCUCAACUUCGAGCUGUCGGUGGAAACUUUCUGGCUAGAGUCCGGAAGAGGAGAAUGGAAUUCCUGGUGUAGCGGUGAAAUGCGCAGAUAUCAGGAAGAACACCCGUGGCGAAGGCGGUUCUCUGGGACGGUACUGACGCUGAGACGCGAAAGCGUGGGGAGCGAAAGGG
Molecule: ribosomal RNA, 253 nt
Filed under: uncultured bacterium
Lineage: Bacteria
Description: partial 16S ribosomal RNA
Rfam family: Bacterial small subunit ribosomal RNA
Source: RNAcentral